GGGCGACCCGGGAACGGAUGGGCAUGCGUGACAUUAGCUAGUUGGCGGGGUAACGGCCCACCAAGGCGACGAUGUCUAGGGGUUCUGAGAGGAAGGUCCCCCACACUGGUACUGAGACACGGACCAGACUCCUACGGGAGGCAGCAGUGAGGAAUAUUGGUCAAUGGGCGAGAGCCUGAACCAGCCAAGUCGCGUGAGGGAAGACGGUUCUAAGGAUUGUAAACCUCUUUUGUCGGGGAGCAAGAAAGGGUAUGCAUACCCUACUGAGAGUACCCGAAGAAAAAGCAUCGGCUAACUCCGUGCCAGCAGCCGCGGUAAUACGGAGGAUGCGAGCGUUAUCCGGAUUUAUUGGGUUUAAAGGGUGCGCAGGCGGGCCGUCAAGUCAGCGGUAAAAUAGCGGGGCUCAACCCCGUCGAGCCGUUGAAACUGGCAGCCUAGAGUGGGCGAGAAGUAUGCGGAAUGCGUGGUGUAGCGGUGAAAUGCAUAGAUAUCACGCAGAACUCCGAUUGCGAAGGCAGCAUACCGGCGCCCGACUGACGCUCAUGCACGAAAGCGUGGGGAUCGAACAGGAUUAGAUACCCUGGUAGUCCACGCAGUAAACGAUGAAUACUAAUUGUUUCGGCGCGAAUGAGCGCCGAGUGAUA
This 644-nucleotide ribosomal RNA is filed under the name uncultured Bacteroidota bacterium. Its description in RNAcentral is "bacterial SSU rRNA". It matches the Rfam family "Bacterial small subunit ribosomal RNA", at positions 207 to 848 of the family's 1533-position model. Lineage: Bacteria; Pseudomonadati; Bacteroidota. The record is from RNAcentral.